GGUUAAGCGACUAAGCGUACACGGUGGAUGCCCUGGCAGUCAGAGGCGAUGAAGGACGUGCUAAUCUGCGAAAAGCGCCGGCGAGGUGAUAUGAACCCUUGACCCGGCGAUGUCCGAAUGGGGAAACCCAGUGUGAUUCGUCACACUAUCGUUAACUGAAUACAUAGGUUAACGAGGCGAACCGGGGGAACUGAAACAUCUAAGUACCCCGAGGAAAAGAAAUCAACCGAGAUUCCCCCAGUAGCGGCGAGCGAACGGGGAGCAGCCCGGAGUCUGAAUCAGCUUGUGUGUUAGUGGAACGGUCUGGAAAGUCCGACGGUACAGGGUGAUAGUCCCGUACACGAAAGCACACUUGCUGUGAACUCGAAGAGUAGGGCGGGACACGUGGUAUCCUGUCUGAAUAUGGGGGGACCAUCCUCCAAGGCUAAAUACUCCUGACUGACCGAUAGUGAACCAGUACCGUGAGGGAAAGGCGAAAAGAACCCCGGCGAGGGGAGUGAAAAAGAACCUGAAACCGUGUACGUACAAGCAGUGGGAGCCUCUUUAUGGGGUGACUGCGUACCUUUUGUAUAAUGGGUCAGCGACUUAUAUUCUGUAGCAAGGUUAACCGUAUAGGGGAGCCGAAGGGAAACCGAGUCUUAACUGGGCGUUAAGUUGCAGGGUAUAGACCCGAAACCCGGUGAUCUAGCCAUGGGCAGGUUGAAGGUUGGGUAACACUAACUGGAGGACCGAACCGACUAAUGUUGAAAAAUUAGCGGAUGACCUGUGGCUGGGGGUGAAAGGCCAAUCAAACCGGGAGAUAGCUGGUUCUCCCCGAAAGCUAUUUAGGUAGCGCCUCGUGAAUUCAUCUUCGGGGGUAGAGCACUGUUUCGGCUAGGGGGCCAUCCCGGCUUACCAACCCGAUGCAAACUACGAAUACCGAAGAAUGUUAUCACGGGAGACACACGGCGGGUGCUAACGUCCGUCGUGAAGAGGGAAACAACCCAGACCGCCAGCUAAGGUCCCAAAGUCAUGGUUAAGUGGGAAACGAUGUGGGAAGGCACAGACAGCCAGGAUGUUGGCUUAGAAGCAGCCAUCAUUUAAAGAAAGCGUAAUAGCUCACUGGUCGAGUCGGCCUGCGCGGAAGAUGUAACGGGGCUAAACCAUGCACCGAAGCUGCGGCAGCGACACUAUGUGUUGUUGGGUAGGGGAGCGUUCUGUAAGCCGUUGAAGGUGUGCUGUGAGGCAUGCUGGAGGUAUCAGAAGUGCGAAUGCUGACAUAAGUAACGAUAAAGCGGGUGAAAAGCCCGCUCGCCGGAAGACCAAGGGUUCCUGUCCAACGUUAAUCGGGGCAGGGUGAGUCGACCCCUAAGGCGAGGCCGAAAGGCGUAGUCGAUGGGAAACAGGUUAAUAUUCCUGUACUUGGUGUUACUGCGAAGGGGGGACGGAGAAGGCUAUGUCAGCCGGGCGACGGUUGUCCCGGUUUAAGCAUGUAGGCGGAGGUUCCAGGUAAAUCCGGUACCUUGUUAACGCUGAGGUGUGAUGACGAGGCACUACGGUGCUGAAGUGAUAAAUGCCCUGCUUCCAGGAAAAGCCUCUAAGCAUCAGGUAACACGAAAUCGUACCCCAAACCGACACAGGUGGUCAGGUAGAGAAUACCAAGGCGCUUGAGAGAACUCGGGUGAAGGAACUAGGCAAAAUGGUGCCGUAACUUCGGGAGAAGGCACGCUGAUAUGUAGGUGAAGCCCCUGCGGGCGGAGCUGAAAUCAGUCGAAGAUACCAGCUGGCUGCAACUGUUUAUUAAAAACACAGCACUGUGCAAACACGAAAGUGGACGUAUACGGUGUGACGCCUGCCCGGUGCCGGAAGGUUAAUUGAUGGGGUUAGCGGCAACGCGAAGCUCUUGAUCGAAGCCCCGGUAAACGGCGGCCGUAACUAUAACGGUCCUAAGGUAGCGAAAUUCCUUGUCGGGUAAGUUCCGACCUGCACGAAUGGCGUAAUGAUGGCCAGGCUGUCUCCACCCGAGACUCAGUGAAAUUGAACUCGCUGUGAAGAUGCAGUGUACCCGCGGCAAGACGGAAAGACCCCGUGAACCUUUACUAUAGCUUGACACUGAACACUGGUCCUUGAUGUGUAGGAUAGGUGGGAGGCUUUGAAGCGUGGACGCCAGUCUGCGUGGAGCCAACCUUGAAAUACCACCCUUUAAUGGCUGGUGUUCUAACGUAGACCCGUAAUCCGGGUUGCGGACAGUGUCUGGUGGGUAGUUUGACUGGGGCGGUCUCCUCCCAAAGAGUAACGGAGGAGCACGAAGGUUGGCUAAUCCUGGUCGGACAUCAGGAGGUUAGUGCAAUGGCAUAAGCCAGCUUGACUGCGAGCGUGACGGCGCGAGCAGGUGCGAAAGCAGGUCAUAGUGAUCCGGUGGUUCUGAAUGGAAGGGCCAUCGCUCAACGGAUAAAAGGUACUCCGGGGAUAACAGGCUGAUACCGCCCAAGAGUUCAUAUCGACGGCGGUGUUUGGCACCUCGAUGUCGGCUCAUCACAUCCUGGGGCUGAAGUAGGUCCCAAGGGUAUGGCUGUUCGCCAUUUAAAGUGGUACGCGAGCUGGGUUUAGAACGUCGUGAGACAGUUCGGUCCCUAUCUGCCGUGGGCGCUGGAGAAUUGAGGGGGGCUGCUCCUAGUACGAGAGGACCGGAGUGGACGCAUCACUGGUGUUCGGGUUGUCAUGCCAAUGGCACUGCCCGGUAGCUAAAUGCGGAAGAGAUAAGUGCUGAAAGCAUCUAAGCACGAAACUUGCCCCGAGAUGAGUUCUCCCUGAGACUUUAAGUCUCCUGAAGGAACGUUGAAGACGACGACGUUGAUAGGUCGGGUGUGUAAGCGCAGCGAUGCGUUGAGCUAACCGAUACUAAUGAACCGUGAGGCUUAACCUU
RNAcentral lists this ribosomal RNA (2905 nucleotides) under Enterobacter hormaechei. Its description in RNAcentral is "23S ribosomal RNA". It matches the Rfam family "Bacterial large subunit ribosomal RNA". The record is from RNAcentral. Lineage: Bacteria; Pseudomonadati; Pseudomonadota; Gammaproteobacteria; Enterobacterales; Enterobacteriaceae.